RNAcentral lists this long non-coding RNA (549 nucleotides) under Cucumis sativus (cucumber). Its description in RNAcentral is "long non-coding RNA (CSAT_LNC000830)". The record is from RNAcentral. Lineage: Eukaryota; Viridiplantae; Streptophyta; Magnoliopsida; Cucurbitales; Cucurbitaceae.
UGGCGUUGAAGGACUAAAGCUUUGGAUUUUAUUGCUAUUGUUGUUGCUGUUGUUGCUCUUGCUUCGUCUAUGGUUGCUACUGCUGCUAUAAGAAUCCUCCGAGUCCGAUGCAGCCAUUGCAACCCUCUUCUUCUGGUAACUCCUUGAGGUUCCUACGAUCUGUGGCAUUGAAAUUGAACAAUCUAAAAUUAGUUAACAGUUAAAAACGGUUGAGGAUUGACAAAUGGGAACGCGUUAGAUAACAUCUUUCUGUUUUUCUUCUGUUUUUCUCUGACUUGUUUAGUUUCCGAGAAAGUUGAGUAAGAGGAAAAAGAAAUUCAAAGUCUUGUUAUUAAUGGUGACAAUCCACGAACCCACUCUAUGAAAAGCAAGUGGAAGAAAAAGAAGAAAAAUAAAAAGUUCAAUUCCACUCGUUUGAAUUUCAACCAAUCAAACACAUUGAUGACACGAAUUCCCAUUUGGAAUUUUCCUUCAUUUUCCCACCCAUUUUCUCAGCAACCAAACAGACGAAAAGGAAAGAGAAUUUCAAAUGGGGUUUUCUUCUAAAUU